UACGUAGGGUGCAAGCGUUGUCCGGAAUUAUUGGGCGUAAAGAGCUCGUAGGCGGUCUGUCGCGUCUGCUGUGAAAACUCGGGGCUUAACCCCGGGCCUGCAGUGGGUACGGGCAGACUAGAGUGCGGUAGGGGAGACUGGAAUUCCUGGUGCAGCGGUGAAAUGCGCAGAUAUCAGGAGGAACACCGGUGGCGAAGGCGGGUCUCUGGGCCGUAACUGACGCUGAGGAGCGAAAGCGUGGGGAGCGAACAGG
This 253-nucleotide ribosomal RNA is filed under the name uncultured bacterium. RNAcentral describes it as "partial 16S ribosomal RNA". It matches the Rfam family "Bacterial small subunit ribosomal RNA", at positions 524 to 776 of the family's 1533-position model. The record is from RNAcentral.